AGUGAACGCUGGCGGUAGGCCUAACACAUGCAAGUCGAACGGCAGCACAGUAAGAGCUUGCUCUUACGGGUGGCGAGUGGCGGACGGGUGAGGAAUACAUCGGAAUCUACUUUUUCGUGGGGGAUAACGUAGGGAAACUUACGCUAAUACCGCAUACGACCUACGGGUGAAAGCAGGGGAUCUUCGGACCUUGCGCGAUUGAAUGAGCCGAUGUCGGAUUAGCUAGUUGGCGGGGUAAAGGCCCACCAAGGCGACGAUCCGUAGCUGGUCUGAGAGGAUGACCGGCACACUUGGACUGAGGCACCGUCCCGGCCUCUUCGGGGGGCAGCCGUUGGGAAUUUUUGACCAUUGGGCGCAGCCCGGUCCCGCCCAUCCGCGUGGGUGAAGAAGGCCUUCGGGUUGUAAAGCCCUUUUGUUGGGAAAGAAAAGCAGCAGGUUAAUACCCCGCUGUUCUGACGGUACCCAAAGAAUAAGCACCGGCUAACUUCGUG
This 491-nucleotide ribosomal RNA is filed under the name uncultured bacterium. RNAcentral describes it as "partial 16S ribosomal RNA". It matches the Rfam family "Bacterial small subunit ribosomal RNA", at positions 29 to 507 of the family's 1533-position model. The record is from RNAcentral.